GUCUCCAGAGGAGAGAGGAUCUCUACCUGUGGCUUCAUAUUCAUCAACUGCACCUUACCUAAUGGGACACACAUAUCAGAGUGGGUGUUUGAAGCCAAUAACACACUGUGUAUUAACCCAACUACUGCCCCUCCCACUAGUUUGGGUAAG
Mugil cephalus (flathead mullet) is the source of this 150-nucleotide long non-coding RNA. RefSeq lists it as uncharacterized. The record is from RefSeq and is a predicted model, not a curated record. The transcript is spliced from 2 exons. Lineage: Eukaryota; Metazoa; Chordata; Actinopteri; Mugiliformes; Mugilidae.